Molecule: ribosomal RNA, 585 nt
Filed under: uncultured bacterium
Lineage: Bacteria
Description: partial 16S ribosomal RNA
Rfam family: Bacterial small subunit ribosomal RNA
Source: RNAcentral
UGGGGAAUUUUGGACAAUGGGCGAAAGCCUGAUCCAGCAAUGCCGCGUGUGUGAAGAAGGCCUUCGGGUUGUAAAGCACUUUUGUCCGGAAAGAAAUCCUUGGCUCUAAUACAGUCGGGGGAUGACGGUACCGGAAGAAUAAGCACCGGCUAACUACGUGCCAGCAGCCGCGGUAAUACGUAGGGUGCAAGCGUUAAUCGGAAUUACUGGGCGUAAAGCGUGCGCAGGCGGUUUGCUAAGACCGAUGUGAAAUCCCCGGGCUCAACCUGGGAACUGCAUUGGUGACUGGCAGGCUAGAGUAUGGCAGAGGGGGGUAGAAUUCCACGUGUAGCAGUGAAAUGCGUAGAGAUGUGGAGGAAUACCGAUGGCGAAGGCAGCCCCCUGGGCCAAUACUGACGCUCAUGCACGAAAGCGUGGGGAGCAAACAGGAUUAGAUACCCGGGUAGUCCACGCCCUAAAACGAUGUCAACUAGUUGUUGGGGAUUCAUUUCUUAGUAACGUAGCUAACGCGUGAAGUUGACCGCCUGGGGAGUACGGUCGCAAGAUUAAAACUCAAAUGAAUUGACGGGGUCAUAGCUGUUUCCU